RNA transcript from Nannospalax galili (Upper Galilee mountains blind mole rat), 2198 nucleotides. It is a transcript of the gene named TAR DNA binding protein, with no coding region annotated. The transcript has 7 exons. The record is from RefSeq and is a predicted model, not a curated record. NCBI's taxonomy places the organism in Eukaryota, Metazoa, Chordata, Mammalia, Rodentia, Spalacidae.
GCGGGGGCGGGAGGCGGCCGUAGCGCCAUUUUGUGGGCACGAAGCGGUAGCUCGGCUGCUCUUGGAUCCUGUGCGACCUCCAUUUCUUCGUCGUGCUUCCUAGCAGAGGUCUAGCGGAGAACAAAGCCAAGAUGUCUGAAUAUAUUCGGGUAACAGAGGAUGAGAACGACGAGCCCAUUGAAAUACCAUCCGAGGACGAUGGCACUGUAUUACUGUCCACCGUCACUGCCCAGUUUCCAGGGGCGUGUGGCCUUCGAUACAGGAAUCCAGUAUCUCAGUGUAUGAGAGGGGUCCGACUGGUGGAAGGAAUUCUGCAUGCUCCUGAUGCUGGCUGGGGAAAUCUGGUAUAUGUUGUCAACUAUCCCAAAGAUAACAAAAGGAAAAUGGAUGAGACAGAUGCCUCCUCAGCAGUGAAAGUAAAAAGAGCAGUCCAAAAAACCUCUGAUUUAAUAGUGUUGGGUCUCCCAUGGAAAACAACUGAACAGGAUCUUAAAGACUACUUCAGUACUUUUGGAGAAGUUCUUAUGGUACAGGUUAAGAAAGAUCUUAAAACUGGUCAUUCGAAAGGGUUUGGCUUUGUUCGUUUUACGGAGUAUGAAACCCAAGUAAAAGUAAUGUCACAGCGACACAUGAUAGAUGGCCGAUGGUGUGACUGUAAACUUCCUAACUCUAAGCAAAGCCCAGAUGAGCCCUUGAGAAGCAGAAAGGUAUUUGUUGGGCGCUGUACAGAGGACAUGACUGCUGAUGAGCUUCGACAGUUCUUCUGUCAGUAUGGAGAAGUAGUAGAUGUCUUCAUUCCCAAACCAUUCAGGGCUUUUGCCUUUGUUACAUUUGCAGAUGAUCAGGUUGCCCAGUCUCUUUGUGGAGAAGACUUGAUCAUUAAAGGAAUCAGCGUGCAUAUAUCCAAUGCUGAACCUAAGCACAAUAGCAAUAGACAGUUAGAGAGAAGUGGAAGAUUUGGUGGUAAUCCAGGUGGCUUUGGGAAUCAGGGUGGGUUUGGUAACAGUAGAGGGGGUGGAGCUGGCUUGGGAAAUAAUCAGGGUGGUAAUAUGGGUGGAGGGAUGAACUUUGGCGCCUUUAGCAUUAAUCCAGCAAUGAUGGCUGCAGCCCAGGCAGCACUGCAGAGCAGUUGGGGCAUGAUGGGCAUGUUAGCCAGUCAGCAGAACCAGUCAGGCCCAUCAGGUAAUAACCAGAGCCAGGGGAACAUGCAGAGGGAGCCAAACCAGGCGUUUGGUUCUGGAAAUAACUCUUACAGUGGUUCUAAUUCUGGUGCCCCUCUUGGUUGGGGGUCAGCAUCAAAUGCAGGGUCAGGCAGUGGUUUUAAUGGAGGGUUUGGCUCAAGCAUGGAUUCUAAGUCCUCUGGCUGGGGAAUGUAGACAGUGGGUUAUGGUUGGGUGGUGUGGGUCAGUGGUCGGUUGGUUGGUAUAGAAUGGUGGGAAUUCAAAUUUUUCUAAACUCAUGGUAAGUAUAUUGUAAAAUACAUAUGUACUAAAAAUUUUCAAAAUUGGUUUGUUCUGUGUGGAGUAUAUUCAGCAGUAUUUUUGACAUUUUUCUUUAGAAAAAGAGGAAGAACUAAAGGAAUUUUAUAAGUUUUGUUACAUAAAGGGUUAAAAUACUGAGUGGCUGAAAGUGAACUGUUGUUUGCCUGAUUGGUAAACCAACACACUACAAUUGAUCUCAAAAGGUUUCUCCUGUAAUAUUCUGUCCUUGGACUUAAGUGAAUUCUUUGCAUGUUCAAAGUAGAAACCAUUGGUUAGAACUACAUUCUUUUUAUUUUAAUUUGAAUCCCACCGUAUGGAUUUUUCCUUAGGAAAAUCUCCUUUUGGGAGAUCAUGAUGUCACGAUGUUUGGUUCUUUUGGUUUUGUUUUAACACUUGUCUUCCUUCAUAUAUAAAAGUACAAUAUGAAGCCUUCAUUUAAUCUCUGCAGUUCAUCUCAUUUCAAAUGUUUAUGGAAGAAGCACUUCAUUGAAAGUAGUGCUGUAAAUAUUCUGCCAUAGGAAAACUGUCUACAUGCUUUCUCAUCCAAGAAUUCGUCAUCACGCUGCACAGGCUGCGUCUUUGACGCCCUGAAUGCAAAGAAUUCAUAGCAGUUAAUUCCCCUUUUUGACCCUUUUGAGAUGGAACUUUCAUAAAGUUUCUUGGCAGUAGUUUAUUUUGCUUCAAAUAAACUUAUUUGAAAAGUUGUCUCAAGUCAAA